Molecule: ribosomal RNA, 465 nt
Filed under: Vreelandella stevensii
Lineage: Bacteria; Pseudomonadati; Pseudomonadota; Gammaproteobacteria; Oceanospirillales; Halomonadaceae
Description: partial 16S ribosomal RNA
Rfam family: Bacterial small subunit ribosomal RNA
Source: RNAcentral
CCUACGGGAGGCAGCAGUGGGGAAUAUUGGACAAUGGGCGAAAGCCUGAUCCAGCCAUGCCGCGUGUGUGAAGAAGGCCUUCGGGUUGUAAAGCACUUUCAGUGGGGAAGAAAGCCUUGGGGCUAAUACCCUCGAGGAAGGACAUCACCCACAGAAGAAGCACCGGCUAACUACGUGCCAGCAGCCGCGGUAAUACGGAGGGUGCGAGCGUUAAUCGGAAUUACUGGGCGUAAAGCGCGCGUAGGCGGUCUGAUAAGCCGGUUGUGAAAGCCCCGGGCUCAACCUGGGAACGGCAUCCGGAACUGUCAGGCUAGAGUGCAGGAGAGGAAGGUAGAAUUCCCGGUGUAGCGGUGAAAUGCGUAGAGAUCGGGAGGAAUACCAGUGGCGAAGGCGGCCUUCUGGACUGACACUGACGCUGAGGUGCGAAAGCGUGGGUAGCAAACAGGAUUAGAUACCCGGGUAGUC